UACGAGGGGGGCAAGCGUUGUUCGGAUUUACUGGGCGUAAAGAGCGCGCAGGCGGUCGUUCAAGUCGCGUGUGAAAGCCCCCGGCUCAACUGGGGAGGGUCACGCGAUACUGAUCGACUCGAAGGCAGGAGAGGGAAGUGGAAUUCCCGGUGUAGUGGUGAAAUGCGUAGAUAUCGGGAGGAACACCAGUGGCGAAGGCGACUUCCUGGCCUGUUCUUGACGCUGAGGCGCGAAAGCUAGGGGAGCAAACGGGG
This 254-nucleotide ribosomal RNA is filed under the name uncultured bacterium. RNAcentral describes it as "partial 16S ribosomal RNA". It matches the Rfam family "Bacterial small subunit ribosomal RNA", at positions 524 to 777 of the family's 1533-position model. The record is from RNAcentral.